This 293-nucleotide unclassified non-coding RNA is filed under the name plant metagenome. Its description in RNAcentral is "partial contains small subunit ribosomal RNA, internal transcribed spacer 1, and 5.8S ribosomal RNA". The record is from RNAcentral.
UUUCCGUAGGUGAACCUGCGGAAGGAUCAUUAACAAAAAAAUAAAAUCCACCUUAGGAAAAACCCAGAGAAGAAAUUCAAAGGGUUUUUCCUUAAGCAAACAGUGAACUUUGUUAAAGUUUCUAACGAGAUAUACCAAUCUAAAUUUAUUUAGAAAGGUAUUUUCUUUUUGAAAACAAACUUGUUUAAUUUAUUUUGUCUUAUCCUUCUUAAACUAAAUUGGUUUUAGGACCUUUUUGGAAAGAAUAUUUAAAUCAAAAGUAACAACUUUUAACAACGGAUAUCUUGGCUCUU